This 76-nucleotide transfer RNA is filed under the name Desulfobacteraceae bacterium. RNAcentral describes it as "tRNA-His". It matches the Rfam family "tRNA". Rfam says of the family: Transfer RNA (tRNA) molecules are approximately 80 nucleotides in length. Their secondary structure includes four short double-helical elements and three loops (D, anti-codon, and T loops). Further hydrogen bonds mediate the characteristic L-shaped molecular structure. tRNAs have two regions of fundamental functional importance: the anti-codon, which is responsible for specific mRNA codon recognition, and the 3' end, to which the tRNAs corresponding amino acid is attached (by aminoacyl-tRNA synthetases). tRNAs cope with the degeneracy of the genetic code in two manners: having more than one tRNA (with a specific anti-codon) for a particular amino acid; and 'wobble' base-pairing, i.e. permitting non-standard base-pairing at the 3rd anti-codon position. Lineage: Bacteria; Pseudomonadati; Thermodesulfobacteriota; Desulfobacteria; Desulfobacterales; Desulfobacteraceae. The record is from RNAcentral.
GUGGGUGUAGCUCAGCAGGCAGAGCACCAGGUUGUGGCCCUGGGUGUCGUGGGUUCGAGCCCCAUCACUCACCCCA